GACGAACGCUGGCGGCGUGCUUAACACAUGCAAGUCGAACGGAAAGGCCCUGCUUUUGUGGGGUGCUCGAGUGGCGAACGGGUGAGUAACACGUGAGUAACCUGCCCUUGACUUUGGGAUAACUUCAGGAAACUGGGGCUAAUACCGGAUAGGAGCUCCUGCUGCAUGGUGGGGGUUGGAAAGUUUCGGCGGUUGGGGAUGGACUCGCGGCUUAUCAGCUUGUUGAUGGGGUAGUGGCUUACCAAGGCUUUGACGGGUAGCCGGCCUGAGAGGGUGACCGGCCACAUUGGGACUGAGAUACGGCCCAGACUCCUACGGGAGGCGGCAGUGGGGAAUAUUGCACAAUGGGCGGAAGCCUGAUGCAGCAACGCCGCGUGCGGGAUGACGGCCUUCGGGUUGUAAACCGCUUUCGCCUGUGACGAAGCGUGAGUGACGGUAAUGGGUAAAGAAGCACCGGCUAACUACGUG
Molecule: ribosomal RNA, 468 nt
Filed under: uncultured bacterium
Lineage: Bacteria
Description: partial 16S ribosomal RNA
Rfam family: Bacterial small subunit ribosomal RNA
Source: RNAcentral